Molecule: ribosomal RNA, 945 nt
Filed under: Onnia circinata
Lineage: Eukaryota; Fungi; Basidiomycota; Agaricomycetes; Hymenochaetales; Hymenochaetaceae
Description: LSU rRNA
Rfam family: Eukaryotic large subunit ribosomal RNA
Source: RNAcentral
GCAUAUCAAUAAGCGGAGGAAAAGAAACUAACAAGGAUUCCCCUAGUAACUGCGAGUGAAGCGGGAAAAGCUCAAAUUUAAAAUCUGGCGGUCUUAUGGCYGUCCGAGUUGUAAUCUGGAGAAGUGUUUUCCGCGUCGGACCGUGUACAAGUCUCCUGGAACGGAGCGUCAUAGAGGGUGAGAAUCCCGUCCAUGACACGGACCGCCGAUGCUUUGUGAUACACUCUCGAAGAGUCGAGUUGUUUGGGAAUGCAGCUCAAAAUGGGUGGUAAAUUCCAUCUAAAGCUAAAUAUUGGCGAGAGACCGAUAGCGAACAAGUACCGUGAGGGAAAGAUGAAAAGCACUUUGGAAAGAGAGUUAAACAGUACGUGAAAUUGUUGAAAGGGAAACGCUUGAAGUCAGUCGCGUCUUUCAGAACUCAGCCUUGCUUCGGCCUGGUGUACUUUCUGUUAGACGGGUCAACGUCAAUUUCGAUCGGCGGAGAAAGGUUGAGGGAAUGUAGCGUUGUUUCGGCGACGUGUUAUAGCCCUCUUCUGUAUACGUCGGCUGGGAUUGAGGACCGCAGCGCGCCUUUAUGGCCAGGGGUUCGCCCCAUGUACCGCGCUUAGGAUGUUGGCAUAAUGGCUUUAAGCGACCCGUCUUGAAACACGGACCAAGGAGUCUAACAUGCUUGCGAGUAUUCGGGUGGAAAACCCUUGUGCGUAAUGAAAGUAAAAGUUGGGAGCCUCCGCGAGGGGGUGCACCGACGCCCGGCCCUGACGUUCUCUGACGGUGCUGCGGUAGAGCAAGUAUGUUGGGACCCGAAAGAUGGUGAACUAUGCCUGAAUAGGGCGAAGCCAGAGGAAACUCUGGUGGAGGCUCGUAGCGAUUCUGACGUGCAAAUCGAUCGUCAAAUUUGGGUAUAGGGGCGAAAGACUAAUCGAACCAUCUAGUAGCUGGUUCUGC